GACGAACGCUGGCGGCGUGCUUAACACAUGCAAGUCGAACGGAAAGGCCCUGCUUUUGUGGGGUGCUCGAGUGGCGAACGGGUGAGUAACACGUGAGUAACCUGCCCUUGACUUUGGGAUAACUUCAGGAAACUGGGGCUAAUACCGGAUAGGAGCUCCUGCUGCAUGGUGGGGGUUGGAAAGUUUCGGCGGUUGGGGAUGGACUCGCAGCUUAUCAGCUUGUUGGUGUGGUAGUGGCUUACCAAGGCUUUGACGGGUAGCCGGCCUGAGAGGGUGACCGGCCACAUUGGGACUAAGAGACGGACCAGACUCCUACGGGAGGCAGCAGUGGGGAAUAUUGCACAAUGGGCGGAAGCCUGAUGCAGCAACGCCGCGUGCGGGAUGACGGCCUUCGGGUUGUAAACCGCUUUCGCAUGUGACGAAGAGUGAGUGACGGUAAUGGGUAAAGAAGCACCGGCUAACUACGUG
This 468-nucleotide ribosomal RNA is filed under the name uncultured bacterium. RNAcentral describes it as "partial 16S ribosomal RNA". It matches the Rfam family "Bacterial small subunit ribosomal RNA", at positions 28 to 507 of the family's 1533-position model. The record is from RNAcentral.